AUUGAACGCUGGCGGCAUGCUUUACACAUGCAAGUCGAACGGCAGCGCGGGCUUCGGCCUGGCUGCGAGUGGCGAACGGGUGAGUAAUGCAUCGGAACGUGCCCAGUAGUGGGGGAUAGCCCGUCGAAAGCCGGAUUAAUACCGCAUACGACCUGAUGGUGAAAGCUGGGGACCGAAGGGCCUCUCGCUAUUGUAGCGGCCGAUGUCGGAUUAGCUAGUUGGUGGGGUAAAGGCUUACCUAGGCGACGAUCCGUAGCUGGUCUGAGAGGACGACCAGCCACACUGGGACUGAGACACGGCCCAGACUCCUACGGGAGGCAGCAGUGGGGAAUUUUGGACAAUGGGGGCAACCCUGAUCCAGCCAUGCCGCGUGCGGGAAGAAGGACUUCGGGUUGUAAACCGCUUUUGUUCGGGAAGAAAUCCUCUGGGCUAAUACCCCGGGGGGAUGACGGUACCGGAAGAAUAAGCACCGGCUAACUACGUG
RNAcentral lists this ribosomal RNA (484 nucleotides) under uncultured bacterium. RNAcentral's name for it is "partial 16S ribosomal RNA". It matches the Rfam family "Bacterial small subunit ribosomal RNA", at positions 30 to 507 of the family's 1533-position model. The record is from RNAcentral.